This 196-nucleotide small nuclear RNA is filed under the name Tupaia belangeri chinensis (Chinese tree shrew). Its description in RNAcentral is "Tupaia chinensis (Chinese tree shrew) U4 spliceosomal RNA". It matches the Rfam family "U4 spliceosomal RNA". From Rfam's summary of the family: U4 small nuclear RNA (U4 snRNA) is a component of the major U2-dependent spliceosome. The record is from Rfam by way of RNAcentral. Lineage: Eukaryota; Metazoa; Chordata; Mammalia; Scandentia; Tupaiidae.
AGCUUUGCGCAGUGGCAGUAUCGUAGCCAAUGAGGUUUAUCCGAGGCGCGAUUAUUGCUAAUUGAAAAUUACAGGUAGCUUGACCACCGCACCUUGGCAGAGUAUAAAAUUAAAAGAAUGCUAAAGACAGAUUUAUAUUGUAUUUAAUAAUUUGCUCCCAGAUUCAAAACUGAACCUUUGGAAACCUGAAAUGAGG